CCUUUGCUCAACAAAUCGCCAUUCGAAGCUUACAAACGGAGAUGCUGCUUGCCAGCGCCUCGUGAGAUCACGGCUUUGGGAGAAAGUCCCCGGACGUCUCCUUUUCGGAGCAUGCGGAAACGCGCCGCCAUAGAAGCACUGCGGCUGACCUCCGCGCCUUGGCCCAGCUGAGGCAUCUGCCCUGCCUGCUGCUAAAUCCGUCUUUGCGAGACAUUUGCCAACCCUGUUUCUGCGCCUCUGGCCCCCAUGGAUGAAGAUAUGAGUCCGAGCUGGAUAGCUGUGGGAGCAGGGCCGCGUCGAUGUCGACCAAGGGUGGAUGGUAGGCGGACGUUUUGGUGUCUCGGCUGCGGUAUCGGGUGCAGAGGAUUUGUUGUCGAGGUCGAUAGUUAUGCGAUUGCCCGGCGCAAGCUUGGUUACUCGAUGGGGCCCAUUCUUGAUGCAAAG
This 444-nucleotide RNase MRP RNA is filed under the name Trichoderma virens Gv29-8. Its description in RNAcentral is "rNase MRP". It matches the Rfam family "RNase MRP". Rfam says of the family: RNase MRP is an enzymatically active ribonucleoprotein with two distinct roles in eukaryotes. In mitochondria it plays a direct role in the initiation of mitochondrial DNA replication. Lineage: Eukaryota; Fungi; Ascomycota; Sordariomycetes; Hypocreales; Hypocreaceae. The record is from Rfam by way of RNAcentral.